ACGGAGGGUGCAAGCGUUAUCCGGAAUUACUGGGUUUAAAGGGUGCGUAGGCGGCAACGUAAGUCAGAAGUGAAAGCUCUCGGCUCAACUGAGGAAUUGCUUUUGAUACUGCGUAGCUUGAAUAAGGUUGAGGUUAGCGGAAUGUGGCAUGUAGCGGUGAAAUGCAUAGAUAUGCCAUAGAACACCAAUUGCGAAGGCAGCUGGCUAGACCUUUAUUGACGCUGAGGCACGAAAGCGUGGGGAGCGAACAGG
Molecule: ribosomal RNA, 252 nt
Filed under: uncultured bacterium
Lineage: Bacteria
Description: partial 16S ribosomal RNA
Rfam family: Bacterial small subunit ribosomal RNA
Source: RNAcentral